GGUUCAAACUAGUUUCCUUUUGGCCUGAAAAGCUCAAAAACAAUGUUUUAGUGUUUCUGCACUGGUUUCUAACAUUACAGUCUAUGAUGGUCAUGCCUUGGUUGAUUGUAAUGGAAAAAUUUUACCUUAGUGCUGUUUCUUAUCCAACACACUCGUUAUGUGUUGGUUAGGUGCAAUAAUGAACAUUCUUACACAAACAAAUAAUCUCUUGUGCCCUGACGUAUAUCAAGUCUAAACAUCUGAUGUUUCAUUUGACUUACUAAUAAUUUAUGAUAUAUGUUUGUCUUUUACACCUGGACUCUGGCUCCAUCCUAUCUGACUCCCCACCAGACCCAGGGCUGGUAAAGCGAAUGCAUCUUGUCUUGGAAGCUCGGUGUUCCUUCCUUUGGAUAACAAGACAUGACGAUGCAGAAGUGAGAAAGCAAACAUUCUCACUCACAGCGAGAUAAAGUGGCACAAACAUUUCCAUUGCUGCAGAGAGACAUUCCACCAGAGCCAGAGUAAUGGGUUAAAAGGCAGAAGCAACUUGAGGAUCGUGGGCUCUUUGCAUCACACCUUCGUGGUGUGUGCACUGAUCUCCCCAGCUGGUUUUAGGUUUGUUGAUGUGCACGAUCAACAUCCAUGCUUUUUAAGGACUAGGGUCGCUCAGCCUCCAAACCUCUACAGCUGUUCUGAGUGGGAGGACUGCUCACCCGUCUGGAUCGCCUCUGACGAGAUCCAACGAACUCAAAAUCCAACCUCUACUCGGCCCGGUGAGAGAAAUUCCUUUUUGUUGCGACUUGUUAAGGAAAAAAAAAACGGGUUUGAAAUUGGUUUCAGGUAUUCGGGGUUUACUUGGCUCUGAUCAUUUGGUUUAGGGAAAGUAAGGCAAAUAACAAUUAAUUCUAAAGCAUCCCCUACUAGACUAAAACAUAAAAGAAAACAUAAUUAGGACUAGAGAUGAUAAUAUUUCUAAAACGACUAUUUGGCUGAAAACAUCCAAAAUAUAAUAUUAGGAAAAGAAUUAUAAUUUUAAAAUUUAAUAUUCGUCCAAAAUUUAAUAUUAGGAAAAAAAAUUAUAAUUUUAAAAUUCAAUAUUCAGGUAAAAUU
This 1089-nucleotide long non-coding RNA is filed under the name Betta splendens (Siamese fighting fish). Its description in RNAcentral is "lncRNA (ENSBSLG00000017618.1)". Lineage: Eukaryota; Metazoa; Chordata; Actinopteri; Anabantiformes; Osphronemidae. The record is from RNAcentral.